GAUUAACGCUGGCGGCGUGCAUAACACAUGCAAGUCGAACGAUGAAACUCAUUAGAUUUCUUCGGAAUGAAAAUGAAUGGAUUAGUGGCGAACGGGUGAGUAACGCGUGAGUAACCUGCCUUACACAAGGGGAUAGCCUCUGGAAACGGAGAAUAAUACCCUAUGAAACCAGACAAUCGCAUGAUAAUCUGGUCAAAAUGUUUAGUGGUGUAAGAUGGACUUGCGUCUGAUUAGCUAGUUGGUAAGAUAAAAGCUCACCAAGGCAACGAUCAGUAGCCGGCUUGAGAGAGUGUACGGCCACAUUGGGACUGAGACACGGCCCAGACUCCUACGGGAGGCAGCAGUGGGGAAUUUUGCACAAUGGGGGAAACCCUGAUGCAGCGACGCCGCGUGAUUUAGAAGGCCUUCGGGUUGUAAAAAUCUUUUGUAUAGGAAGAAAAUGACAGUACUAUACGAAUAAGGUCCGGCUAAUUACGUG
Molecule: ribosomal RNA, 478 nt
Filed under: uncultured bacterium
Lineage: Bacteria
Description: partial 16S ribosomal RNA
Rfam family: Bacterial small subunit ribosomal RNA
Source: RNAcentral